This 389-nucleotide ribosomal RNA is filed under the name Xenogryllus marmoratus. RNAcentral's name for it is "partial 12S ribosomal RNA". Lineage: Eukaryota; Metazoa; Arthropoda; Insecta; Orthoptera; Gryllidae. The record is from RNAcentral.
UAUUAUUUUUAAUGUAAGGAUUUAGGCUGGGGUAGUAAUAGUUGGUCUUGAAACUCAAAGAAUUUGGCGGUGUUUUAGUCUUUUCAGGGGAAUCUGUCUCGUAAUUGAUGAUACACGAAUGGAUAUACUUGAUCUUGUUGUAGUAUGUAUACCGCCGUCGUAAGAUUAUUUUUUGAGAAUAAUUUUCUUAAUUUUGUAUUAAAUUAUAUGUCAGGUCAAGGUGCAGCUUAUGAUUAAGUGAUGAUGGAUUACAAUAAUAUUAAUUAUGAUGGAUAAUUAUUUUGAGUUAAUUUGAAGGUGGACUUGAUUGUAAAUUUAUUUUAAUUUUUUGAUUGAUUUGAGCUCUAAAAUGUGUACAUAUCGCCCGUCGCUCUCGUUAUUAAGAUGAG